RNAcentral lists this ribosomal RNA (429 nucleotides) under Chloroflexota bacterium. RNAcentral describes it as "Chloroflexi bacterium partial 16S ribosomal RNA". It matches the Rfam family "Bacterial small subunit ribosomal RNA", at positions 355 to 776 of the family's 1533-position model. The record is from RNAcentral. Lineage: Bacteria; Bacillati; Chloroflexota.
UGGGGAAUAUUGCACAAUGGGCGCAAGCCUGAUGCAGCCAUGCCGCGUGUAUGAAGAAGGCCUUCGGGUUGUAAAGUACUUUCAGCGGGGAGGAAGGCGUUAAGGUUAAUAACCUUGGCGAUUGACGUUACCCGCAGAAGAAGCACCGGCUAACUCCGUGCCAGCAGCCGCGGUAAUACGGAGGGUGCAAGCGUUAAUCGGAAUUACUGGGCGUAAAGCGCACGCAGGCGGUCUGUCAAGUCGGAUGUGAAAUCCCCGGGCGCAACCUGGGAACUGCAUUCGAAACUGGCAGGCUAGAGUCUUGUAGAGGGGGGUAGAAUUCCAGGUGUAGCGGUGAAAUGCGUAGAGAUCUGGAGGAAUACCGGUGGCGAAGGCGGCCCCCUGGACAAAGACUGACGCUCAGGUGCGAAAGCGUGGGGAGCAAACAGG